CAGCCGCCACGGUAAUACGAAGGGGGCUAGCGUUGCUCGGAAUGACUGGGCGUAAAGGGCGCGUAGGCGGAUUGUUUAGUUAGGCGUGAAAUUCCUGGGCUUAACCUGGGGACUGCGCUUAAUACAGGCAGUCUAGAGUGAGGAAGAGGGUUGUGGAAUUCCCAGUGUAGAGGUGAAAUUCGUAGAUAUUGGGAAGAACACCGGUGGCGAAGGCGGCAACCUGGUCCUUGACUGACGCUGAGGCGCGAAAGCGUGGGGAGCAAACAGGAUUAGAUACCCCGGUAGUCCCUGUCUCUUAUAC
This 301-nucleotide ribosomal RNA is filed under the name uncultured bacterium. Its description in RNAcentral is "partial 16S ribosomal RNA". It matches the Rfam family "Bacterial small subunit ribosomal RNA", at positions 509 to 807 of the family's 1533-position model. The record is from RNAcentral.